RNAcentral lists this long non-coding RNA (217 nucleotides) under Mytilus galloprovincialis (Mediterranean mussel). The record is from RNAcentral. Lineage: Eukaryota; Metazoa; Mollusca; Bivalvia; Mytilida; Mytilidae.
CAUAGGCUUACAUGCAAAACAGCUGAUCUUUGAAAAUAAAAAAAUAAAAAAAAUGCUACCUAGAAAAAAAAAUUCAUGUUCAUAUUAUGUAUGUACUAAUGUGAAAUUGUGAUUUAAUCGAAAAAAAGGGGUCAUUCCACGAAGAAUAAAAAGUUACGUAAACCGGAAGUCAAAUCAUUUUUUUUCUACUUACUGUUUGCUGUUUUUACUAGGCCGC